RNAcentral lists this unclassified non-coding RNA (177 nucleotides) under uncultured Herpotrichiellaceae. RNAcentral describes it as "sequence contains ITS1". The record is from RNAcentral. Lineage: Eukaryota; Fungi; Ascomycota; Eurotiomycetes; Chaetothyriales; Herpotrichiellaceae.
CCGAGUUAGGGUCUUUAUGGCCCGACCUCCAACCCUUUGUUUAUUAUACCAUGUUGCUUUGGCGGGCCUGCCUUUCGGGGCUGCCGGGGGUACUGCCGCCCCUGACUCGUGCCUGCCAGGAGCCUUCCUUAAAUUCUGUGUGAAACUGUGUUGUCUGAGUCCCAAUAUCAAAUUAAA